This is a long non-coding RNA of Sinocyclocheilus anshuiensis, 317 nucleotides long. RefSeq lists it as uncharacterized. The record is from RefSeq and is a predicted model, not a curated record. The transcript has 3 exons. NCBI's taxonomy places the organism in Eukaryota, Metazoa, Chordata, Actinopteri, Cypriniformes, Cyprinidae.
CUCCAUACGCCUGCGGAUCAGGAAUACCAGAGAUAAAGACGAUCCUGAGUGGCUUCAUCAUCCGCGGGUAUCUGGGCAAGUGGACGCUGCUCAUAAAGACGGUGACGCUGGUGCUGGCCGUGUCGUCUGGCCUCAGUCUGGGGAAGGAAGGGCCUCUCGUGCACGUCGCCUGCUGCUGCGGAAACCUGUUCUGCAGCCUCUUCUCCAAAUACAGCAAGAACGAGGGCAAACGCAGAGAGGUUUUGUCGGCAGCUGCGGCCGCAGGAGUGUCUGUUGCGUUCGGAGCUCCAAUCGGAGGAGUUCUGUUCAGUCUGGAG